UUUAGAGCCAGAGAAAAUGAUUCACUUCUUCAGGCACCCGGUCAGCUAUUUGAUCGUUGCUUGGAAAAGAAUCAUCAUUGCUUUCAAUGUCCAAAUCCACACCAAGAAAGCUUUCUCUCCCCCUUUAAAGGGCUCUGUAGACCCUUUUUACUCACGGACUAUACCUGGGCUGCGUGCUUCCUAGAGGAUGGUUCUGCAGGCAACAUGGCUUACAUCUUCUGGAGCAGGGAUUCCUUGAGGAGUCUAGCCCAAUAACCACUCCUUCCUUUGUAAUAUGAGCAAACUUGUACUGUCGGAGUUUAUAGAUUUUUAAAGGGACCAUUAUAAUAAUCAAGUCCAUUCUCCUGCAUAGCAUAGACCACAGAUCCUCCCCCAGCAAUUCCUGCCACAAGUCCACAACUUCUUUGAGUUCAAGGGUAUCAUUUUGACAGAGAAUCCACCAUGUCCCAAGGAUGGACACCAGGAUUGGACGUGGUGUUCCAGGACUAGUUCUGCUAGCAAAAGUUAACAGAGAUGAUUGAUAAACAUUGGAACAACACUCCGCCAAAAAGAGAUCUCUUCAGAAGCUUACUAGAAAACAUGCUCACAGGCUGAUGACUCCACAUUUACAGUUACUUUUGAGAUCUACCAGUUAACCAGAUUUUAACCCAUAUAAUAUGGGCUACACUGGGUUUAUAUAGUUGAUAUUUUCCAUGUUCUAAAUCUUGAUGUCGGGGAGAAAGUUUAUGUUCUGUCACAGGAAAAAGUUGUAUUUCAACGUUUUGACUGUUAUCUUAUCUACAUAUUUCAGAAUUGUGCAUUUUUCUGUCUGUCUGUCUGUCUGUCCAUCCAUCUGUAAGUCUCCUUCUAUUUGGUAAA
Pelodiscus sinensis (Chinese soft-shelled turtle) is the source of this 858-nucleotide long non-coding RNA. RefSeq lists it as uncharacterized. The record is from RefSeq and is a predicted model, not a curated record. NCBI's taxonomy places the organism in Eukaryota, Metazoa, Chordata, Testudines, Trionychidae.